UCCCUGGUGGUCCAGUGGCUAAGACUCUGUGCCCCCAAUGCAGGAGACCCAGGUUCAAUACCUGGUCAGGGAA
Non-coding RNA from Bos taurus (domestic cattle), 73 nucleotides. NCBI's taxonomy places the organism in Eukaryota, Metazoa, Chordata, Mammalia, Artiodactyla, Bovidae. The record is from Rfam.